AUGCUUCUGGGAGGCUUGGGUCUGAAAAACCUGCAGAAGUUUGGGUCGGCGUUGCGCCUCCGGUGGUUGUGGUACCGAUGGGAUGAUCACUCCAGGACUUGGUCUGGAUUGCCGGUGCCAUGCUCGAAUGAAGAGUUUGCCAUGUUCACCUCCGCAACUUCGGUCACUUUGGGGGAUGGUUGCACUGCCCUGUUCUGGUUUGACUCUUGGUUGGAUGGUAUGGCGCCGCGUGAUCUAGCCCCGGCCCUGUUUCAAGCCUCGGCAAGGAAGAAGAGGACUGUUGCAGGGGCCAUGGCGGGCUCGGCGUGGCUGAAGGACCUAUCCGCCAGCUUCAAAGAUGAGAUGCUCGACGAGCUGAUUUACCUGUCCUCGAGGCUGCAGCCUUGGCGUCAGGGACUCCAUCGUUUGGAAGCUGACGGCUGA
Molecule: ribosomal RNA, 423 nt
Filed under: Triticum aestivum (bread wheat)
Lineage: Eukaryota; Viridiplantae; Streptophyta; Magnoliopsida; Poales; Poaceae
Description: partial small subunit ribosomal RNA
Source: RNAcentral